This 253-nucleotide ribosomal RNA is filed under the name uncultured bacterium. Its description in RNAcentral is "partial 16S ribosomal RNA". It matches the Rfam family "Bacterial small subunit ribosomal RNA", at positions 524 to 776 of the family's 1533-position model. The record is from RNAcentral.
UACAGAGGUGGCAAGCGUUGUUCGGAAUUACUGGGCGUAAAGGGCGUGUAGGCGGUCUUCUAAGUCAGACGUGAAAUCCCCCGGCUUAACCUGGGAACUGCGUCUGAUACUGGGAGGCUUGAGUAUGGGAGAGGGAUGUAGAAUUCCAGGUGUAGCGGUGAAAUGCGUAGAUAUCUGGAGGAACACCGGUGGCGAAGGCGACAUCCUGGACCGGUAUUGACGCUGAGGCGCGAAAGCCAGGGGAGCAAACGGG